GAUGAACGCUGGCGGCGUGCCUAAUACAUGCAAGUCGAGCGAACGGACGAGAAGCUUGCUUCUCUGAUGUUAGCGGCGGACGUGUGAGUAAAAUGUGGAUAACCUACCUAUAAGACUGGGAUAACUUCGUGAAACCGGAGCUAAUACCGUAUAAUAUUUUGAACCGCAUAGUUCAAAAGUGAAAGACGGUCUUGCUGUCACUUAUAGCUGUAUCCGCGCUGCAUUGGCUAGUUGGUAAGGUAACGGCUUACCAAGGCAACACUGCAUAGCCGACCUGCGAGGGUGAUGGGCCACUCUGGAACUGAGACACGGCACAGAGUCCUACGGGAGGCAGCAGUAGGGAAUGGUCCGCAAUGGGCGAAAGCCUGACGGAGCAACGCCGCGUGAGUGAUGAAGGUCUUCGGAUCGGAAAACUCUGUUAUUAGGGAAGAACAUAUGCGUAAGUAACUGUGCACAUCUUGACGGUACCUAAUCAGAAAGCCACGGCUAACUACGUG
This 497-nucleotide ribosomal RNA is filed under the name uncultured bacterium. RNAcentral's name for it is "partial 16S ribosomal RNA". It matches the Rfam family "Bacterial small subunit ribosomal RNA", at positions 28 to 507 of the family's 1533-position model. The record is from RNAcentral.